UACGUAGGGAGCAAGCGUUGUUCGGAAUUACUGGGCGUAAAGGGCUUGUAGGCGGCCAACUAAGUCCGACGUGAAAUCCCCAGGCUUAACCUGGGAACUGCGUCGGAUACUGGAUGGCUUGAAUCCGGGAGAGGGAUGCGGAAUUCCAGGUGUAGCGGUGAAAUGCGUAGAUAUCUGGAGGAACACCGGUGGCGAAGGCGGCAUCCUGGACCGGCAUUGACGCUGAAAAGCGAAAGCUAGGGGAGCAAACGGG
This 253-nucleotide ribosomal RNA is filed under the name uncultured bacterium. RNAcentral describes it as "partial 16S ribosomal RNA". It matches the Rfam family "Bacterial small subunit ribosomal RNA", at positions 524 to 776 of the family's 1533-position model. The record is from RNAcentral.